RNAcentral lists this ribosomal RNA (460 nucleotides) under uncultured bacterium. RNAcentral's name for it is "partial 16S ribosomal RNA". It matches the Rfam family "Bacterial small subunit ribosomal RNA", at positions 338 to 795 of the family's 1533-position model. The record is from RNAcentral.
CCUACGGGAGGCAGCAGUGAGGAAUAUUGGUCAAUGGACGAGAGUCUGAACCAGCCAAGUAGCGUGAAGGAUGACUGCCCUAUGGGUUGUAAACUUCUUUUAUAUGGGAAUAAAACGUUCCACGUGUGGGAUUUUGUAUGUACCAUAUGAAUAAGGAUAGGCUAACUCCGUGCCAGCAGCCGCGGUAAUACGGAGGAUCCGAGCGUUAUCCGGAUUUAUUGGGUUUAAAGGGAGCGUAGGUGGAUUGUUAAGGCAGUUGUGAAAGUUUGCGGCUCAACCGUAAAAUUGCAGUUGAAACUGGCAGUCUUGAGUACAGUAGAGGUGGGCGGAAGUCGUGGUGUAGCGGUGAAAUGCUUAGAUAUCACGAAGAACUCCGAUUGCGAAGGCAGUUCACUGGACUGCAACUGACACUGAGGCUCGAAAGUGUGGGUAUCAAACAGGAUUAGAUACCCCAGUAGUC